CAUCUCACUCCUCUGCUUCUUCUUUUCUCUAAAAGGGAAAGACCUUUUAACCAACUGUAUUGAGAUAUACUUUAUUAUCAUAAAAUUAACUCAUUUCAAGUGUGCAAUCAGCAAUUUUCAGUAAUCUCAUUGAGUUGUGCUGCCUUUGCUUUCAUUCCAGUUUUGGACCUUCUCUUGCCCAUAAGGUCCUUUGGGCCUGAUGACCAUUAAUCUUUACCCCACCCCAGCUGAUCUACUUCUGUCUCUAGGAAAUUUCCCUUUCUGGGCCUGUCAUGGAGAAGAAGUCACACAAGAUCAAGUCAGUUUUGAACACAUAAAGGUCCUGGGGCAGGAGUGAGCCGGGCAGACCAGAGUCUGGUAAGCAAGGAGGGGUUGUGCACGGGAGAGCUGGGCAGUGGCCCGCUGAGCUGCUGGGGUUCAGAAUGCGACAGGAGACACUGAGGUGUGCUCUGCUCUGCUUCCUGGUUUUCAGUGAUGCCCUGGCCGCUGUGUGGAGAACAGAUGUCGUGGAGUUCAGGUGGGUUCUGACCAAGGAGGCCAGCGCCUGCUUUAGCUCCCAGCCCCAUGGAAGGGCACCGAAAUCCACGUUGGAGACAAGGACCACUCUCCUGAAGGCGGUUCUGGCCUCAGAAGGUGAUGCCCUGGCCACCGUGUGGAGAACAGAUGUGGAUCUGAGGUGGGUUCUGGCCAGGGAGGCCAGCGGCUGCUUUAGCUCCCAGCUGCACUGAAAACCAGCCCCAAGACCAGCUCACACCAGGACUGCAGGUGCUGACUCCCCAGAUGUGAAGGUGGGGGUGAGAAGGGAGUGUCACAUAACUAAAGGAUGAAAAUCAUGCC
RNAcentral lists this long non-coding RNA (837 nucleotides) under Fukomys damarensis (Damara mole-rat). RNAcentral's name for it is "lncRNA (ENSFDAG00000031367.1)". Lineage: Eukaryota; Metazoa; Chordata; Mammalia; Rodentia; Bathyergidae. The record is from RNAcentral.